This 460-nucleotide ribosomal RNA is filed under the name uncultured bacterium. RNAcentral's name for it is "partial 16S ribosomal RNA". It matches the Rfam family "Bacterial small subunit ribosomal RNA", at positions 338 to 795 of the family's 1533-position model. The record is from RNAcentral.
CCUACGGGAGGCUGCAGUGAGGAAUAUUGGUCAAUGGGCGCGAGCCUGAACCAGCCAAGUAGCGUGAAGGAUGACUGCCCUACGGGUUGUAAACUUCUUUUAUUAAGGAAUAAAGUGAGGCACGUGUGCCUUUUUGUAUGUACUUUAUGAAUAAGAAUAGGCUAACUCCGUGCCAGCAGCCGCGGUAUUACGGAGGAUCCGAGCGUUAUCCGGAUUUAUUGGGUUUAAAGGGUGCGUAGGCGGGCGUAUAAGUUAGAGGUGAAAUCCCGAGGGUCAACUUCGGAAUUGCCUCUGAUACUGGUCGGCGAGAGUGGAGUUGGGGAAGGCGGAAUGUAUGGUGUAGCGGUGAAAUGCUUAGAGAUCAUACAGAACACCGAUUGCGAAGGCAGCUGACCAAGCUACUUCUGACGUUGAGGCACGAAAGCGUGGGGAGCAAACAGGAUUAGAUACCCGGGUAGUC